This 84-nucleotide microRNA precursor is filed under the name Bombyx mori (domestic silkworm). Its description in RNAcentral is "mir-2807 microRNA precursor family". It matches the Rfam family "mir-2807 microRNA precursor family". Lineage: Eukaryota; Metazoa; Arthropoda; Insecta; Lepidoptera; Bombycidae. The record is from Rfam by way of RNAcentral.
AAAAGUUAACUCAGUAUAGAGUUGGAACGUUUGCCUACGUUUGCCGCUAGGGGCGCUGUUCCAACUACAUACAAAUUUGAGUUA